RNAcentral lists this long non-coding RNA (224 nucleotides) under Octopus vulgaris (common octopus). Lineage: Eukaryota; Metazoa; Mollusca; Cephalopoda; Octopoda; Octopodidae. The record is from RNAcentral.
CACGAAUCGAAGGGGGAUAAUUCAAUAAUACUCGAGUUGUGCUUGAUCACGUGAUAUAUUCACAUGCUUUGGUGAAUAUGGCGGUUGCUGCUUGUGUUGGUGCGAGGUGACACUUGGAUGUUUACGGUGCAAAUGAAGGAAAGGAACUUCGACUCUAUUAUGUUUUGUUCUAAAUGGCUUUGACAAGGAAGGAAGCUUACAAUACACUUGAGUUGCCCAUUGGU